This 898-nucleotide ribosomal RNA is filed under the name Pantoea sp. SB25. RNAcentral's name for it is "bacterial SSU rRNA". It matches the Rfam family "Bacterial small subunit ribosomal RNA", at positions 95 to 989 of the family's 1533-position model. Lineage: Bacteria; Pseudomonadati; Pseudomonadota; Gammaproteobacteria; Enterobacterales; Erwiniaceae. The record is from RNAcentral.
GUGGCGGACNGGUGAGUAAUGUCUGGGGNUCUGCCCGAUAGAGGGGGAUAACCACUGGAAACGGUGGCUAANNCCGCAUAANNUCGCAAGACCAAAGAGGGGGACCUUCGGGCCUCUCACUAUCGGAUGAACCCAGAUGGGAUUAGCUAGUAGGCGGGGUAAUGGCCCACCUAGGCGACGAUCCCUAGCNGGUCUGAGAGGAUGACCAGCCACACUGGAACUGAGACACGGUCCAGACUCCUACGGGAGGCAGCAGUGGGGAAUAUUGCACAAUGGGCGCAAGCCUGAUGCACCCAUGCCGCGUGUAUGAAAAAAGCCUUCGGGUUGUAAAGUACUUUCAGCGGGGAGGAAGGCGAUGGGGUUAAUAACCCCGUCGAUUGACGUUACCCGCAGAAAAAACACCGGCUAACUCCGUGCCACCACCCGCGGUAAUACGGAGGGUGCAAGCGUUAAUCGGAAUUACUGGGCGUAAAGCGCACGCAGGCGGUCUGUUAAGUCAGAUGUGAAAUCCCCGGGCUUAACCUGGGAACUGCAUUUGAAACUGGCAGGCUUGAGUCUUGUAGAGGGGGGUAGAAUUCCAGGUGUAGCGGUGAAAUNNNUAGAGAUCUGGAGGAAUACCGGUGGCGAAGGCGGCCCCCUGGACAAAGACUGACGCUCAGGUGCGAAAGCGUGGGGAGCAAACAGGAUUAGAUACCCUGGUAGUCCACGCCGUAAACGAUGUCGACUUGGAGGUUGUUCCCUUGAGGAGUGGCUUCCGGAGCUAACGCGUUAAGUCGACCGCCUGGGGAGUACGGCCGCAAGGUUAAAANUCAAAUGAAUUGACGGGGGCCCGCACAAGCGGUGGAGCAUGUGGUUUAAUUCGAUGCAACGCGAAGAACCUUACNNACUCUUGACNAUC